Long non-coding RNA from Mustela lutreola (European mink), 2841 nucleotides. RefSeq lists it as uncharacterized. The record is from RefSeq and is a predicted model, not a curated record. NCBI's taxonomy places the organism in Eukaryota, Metazoa, Chordata, Mammalia, Carnivora, Mustelidae. The transcript has 2 exons.
GCAGCCCACUGUUCCUGGGCUGUAAUCUCAUGCUGAGAAUUGCUCAACAGCCCCACCAAACACGCAGAGCCCCAGCCUGAACCCAAGUGGAAACAGAGUCUUAUUUUUACCCACUGCCUGGAAAAGCCUGCUUUCAGCCUCCUGUCUAGGUAAUUCCCACUCUCUUAGGGGGCAAGGAGGCUGUCAUGGGGGCGUUGUUGACCAACAGUCUCUCCCUCUCUCUCUACUUUCCUGAGUGUGAAGCAUCUGGACUUCCACUGCGCUGUCUUCCACGAAGGCAGGCAGGAAAUAAGGGUCAGCGCGGGCCCGAGAGGAAGUGCGGUAAGCCCCGCAGGGAAUCAGAUGCUGGCCUGGUUUCACAUGAGGGCAACCUAUAUGUGGAGCUCAGUCCUUCCCCUGGAUUUCCACCAAACCUGUGUGAAUGCUUGUGAAACCGAUGCCACAGGGUCACAUCACAGCAGAACAAAUGAUCACAGACUGUUAAGUAGACUGCCUUGCUCUUAACAGUGUGUUGUCCCCCAGCCAUAUGGCUUGUCCUCUUUUCUCACCAACCCCGCCACAACGAAAUCUUGUUCUGCUCUCCUCCACCCCCAGGUUCCUGCUAAAUCCUAAUUCAGAACGAUUCAAUUAUUAAUUAGAUCAUUUAAACAUUAAUUAAGAUUCAAGUGUCAGUUAAAUAAUAUUUGAUGAGCCUGUCUGCAGCUCAUCAGCGACUCGGGAUGUUUUUGAUUCAGGAUCUCACCUUCUAUCCCUAGAUAUCUAUCAAGGUGUGCUCUUCAACAAAGAUGGGCUCCUUUAAGAGAGAGUUCAACUAACUUUUUGUCCUGCUUGGUUGGGCCUGACUGAAGGCAGAUCACAGGCAGAGAGGGACGCUGCUUAUCCUCAGGCCCUGGAAGAGCUAAGACUGGUUGGGCCCUGUGGAAUGUGUGUGGCCGGUUCAGGAGGCAAAGGUGGCCCAAAGAAGCCUUCCUCCUUCCUCUGCCUCCGGAAACAUUUCCUGUGCAGGGGAGAAGAAUUACAUGCUGGCUUCAUCUCCAAAGAUCAAGGAAUAACUCUGAACCAUGGUGACAGGUGCUCUUUCCAGAUCAGAUGCUCAUCAAGGAAGUGAACCCAACACCUGGAGGUCACCCUUUGAUGAAGGUAUUUCUUUUAUAACAAAUCAAAGAAAACUUUAACCUCCCUGGAAUAAAGGAAAUGGGGUGGUCCAGACUAGUCGCUAUGACUACUGUCUUGCUAAGCUAUCCCUAGAAAAGGGGGGAGGCAGCCAUCCCUCCCCUGUGCAUUCACUGUCCACCCCGGGAUAUGCACAAGGGAACAGAAGGGACGUGGUAGUUGCUGACGGGCCCAACAACCCUUCCCUCACACACACUGGUCCUGGGUGGAGUAUCUUGGAUAUGCAAUCCCACUUAGUGUUCAGAGAGAAUCUUCAAAGAUUCUCUAAAGGAUGUAUCUCCAUUACAUGGAUGAAGAAACCAAGGCCUGGGCAGGUGAAGCGAUGUACCGAAAGCCUGAAAGCCAGAGAGAGGCAGAUGUUGGCUUGAAGUCCAUUCGCCUUCCUUCAAAUCGCUGUGGCUUUUUCCCUGAUCAUCCCCACACUCACCUCCAUCCCACAGUGGCUGCUGUAGAGGGGAGCAAAGCUGAGAAGACACAGGAAGAUGCCGGCGGUAUGCUGAACGUAGAAAGGAGCAGUAACACCGAGACCCCUGGAGGGGCUCUGCAGCCACAGUCUCUCUUGAGCGCUUAGAUUUCCUUUGGUUCUUGUAAAUCCCUUUGGGAAAGCUCUAAUCUGCCUCAACUGAACGAAAGGCAAGGCUGUGUUGUUAAUGACUGGUCAGGAGGAUGGCAGCUGGGACUUCGAGUACCCUCUAACUUUUACCGCAAAUGGCAAAUAUGAUCAUGACUUUUCCCUCCAAAAUCAGACCUCAGGGGCAUCUGUUGUAGAAUCUUGACAAAAUACAGAGUCCUUCUUCAGUUACUUUAUUUUGAACCCCUAAAUGAAGACCCGUUAGUCGUAAGCCAUCUAAAGCUAUGCUGAUAGGGGAUCCUGUGUAAGGUUCCUGGCAACAAAGGAGAGUAGGGGAAAGAGAAAUCUGACACACAUUCGGCACUUAUUCCUGGGGAUCUGGCCCCUCACCUGUUGGAUGUUGGAGGCCACAGUGAGCAAACCAGAUAAAGACCAUGUUAAAAAUCAAUACUACUACAUACGAUCUUUUAAAAGUAAGUGGUUAGCGUCUGAAGUCACAAAUAAGGAAAGAAUUAUUAUAACUUGGGGCAGAUGUUCCAAUGACAACAUCAUACCUAGAUUUAAAAAGUGCUGAAGGUCAAGCAACCCGGAUGGAUCUGCAGCUGAUACGCUCUGAAAGCUGAUUUGAUGACUGAGACCCCGAAGCAGAAGGCCUGCUGAAAGGGUUUGACUAAUGAAUAGCAUUGUGCUUGGGAAAAGGCCAUAUGUCUGUAUUAUAAACAGGAUAUGACUUUUAAAUAUAUCACUUAAACUAUUAGCUUAUCAAUCAGGAAUAUUGAACACUACACCAAAAACUAAUGAUGUGCUAUAUGUUGGCUAAUUGAGUUUAAACUUAAAAAAAAAAAAAAAUUUUUUUUUUUUUAAGAAUGGGGGAGGGGCAGAGGGAGAAGCAGACUCCCUGCUCAGCUGGGAGCCUGAUGCUGGGCUCCAUCCCAGGACCCUGGGAUCAUGACCUGAGCAGAAGGCAGACACUUGACCGAUGAGCAACCCAGGUGCCUCACUUAAACUAUUAACAUGUUAAUCAGUGUUUAUAAAUUAACAAAUAACGUAUGUGAUUUUAAGUAUGUCUAAUUAAAUUAUAUUAAUUAUUAUGUGCA